RNAcentral lists this ribosomal RNA (253 nucleotides) under uncultured bacterium. Its description in RNAcentral is "partial 16S ribosomal RNA". It matches the Rfam family "Bacterial small subunit ribosomal RNA", at positions 524 to 776 of the family's 1533-position model. The record is from RNAcentral.
UACGUAGGGUGCGAGCGUUAAUCGGAAUUACUGGGCGUAAAGCGUGCGUAGGCGGUCUGCAAAGUCUGAUGUGAAAGCCCCGGGCUCAACCUGGGAACUGCAUUGGAAACUAACGGGCUCGAGUGUGGCAGAGGGGGGUGGAAUUCCACGUGUAGCAGUGAAAUGCGCAGAUAUCGGGAGGAACACCAAUGGCGAAGGCAGCUCGCUGGGACGGUACUGACGCUGAGACGCGAAAGCGUGGGGAGCAAACAGG